Molecule: long non-coding RNA, 507 nt
Organism: Amphiprion ocellaris (clown anemonefish)
Lineage: Eukaryota; Metazoa; Chordata; Actinopteri; Pomacentridae
Source: Ensembl
CAGAGGACCAUCACUACUGGUAGCAUCUCUGGCUGCUGCUGAUCUUGUUUUUGGAGUAAAACACGGUGGAAGCUGAAUUAGUGAGGAUGACUCCUGCUCCUGUCAUCUCUAAGCUCCUCACACAUCUUUACCUGCACAUGAGGAAAAUCACUCCUGCAGAAUGCAGAUGUUCAGAGGGAGAUGAUGCCACAUCUGGUCCAGCUGAUGGAAGGUCUUGAAGUUCUCUGACUUGCCUCGACUGAAGAUGGUCGUCUCACUGGAUUUAAGAUGCACAAUGAGGGACGUCUGCAGAGACUGAGAAAGAGUCUCACCACAUCCUGACAUGAGGAAAAAGACUUUAUUGAAGACUACAAUGAGAAAAACUAUCAGACAGCAGACGGCUGCAUUCAAGGUGAGCUCUGAACAUUUGAUCUGGAACAGGAAUUCAAUAACGGCAGCAUGAGCUUCAUUUCAGUCUGUAGCUGCUGAAUUCAUGGAUGAAUCAUCUGGCACUAGAGAGGAAGACCA